This 569-nucleotide ribosomal RNA is filed under the name bacterium M6(2011). RNAcentral describes it as "bacterial SSU rRNA". It matches the Rfam family "Bacterial small subunit ribosomal RNA", at positions 8 to 572 of the family's 1533-position model. The record is from RNAcentral.
AGAGUUUGAUCCAGGCUCAGAUUGAACGCUAGCGGGAUGCCUUACACAUGCAAGUCGAACGGCAGCACGGACUUCGGUCUGGUGGCGAGUGGCGAACGGGUGAGUAAUGUAUCGGAACGUGCCCAGUAGCGGGGGAUAACUACGCGAAAGCGUGGCUAAUACCGCAUACGCCCUACGGGGGAAAGCAGGGGAUCGUAAGACCUUGCACUAUUGGAGCGGCCGAUAUCGGAUUAGCUAGUUGGUGGGGUAACGGCUCACCAAGGCGACGAUCCGUAGCUGGUUUGAGAGGACGACCAGCCACACUGGGACUGAGACACGGCCCAGACUCCUACGGGAGGCAGCAGUGGGGAAUUUUGGACAAUGGGGGAAACCCUGAUCCAGCCAUCCCGCGUGUGCGAUGAAGGCCUUCGGGUUGUAAAGCACUUUUGGCAGGAAAGAAACGUCGCGGGUUAAUACCCCGUGAAACUGACGGUACCUGCAGAAUAAGCACCGGCUAACUACGUGCCAGCAGCCGCGGUAAUACGUAAGGUGCAAGCGUUAAUCGGAAUUACUGGGCGUAAAGCGUGCGC